UACGUAGGGGGCAAGCGUUAUCCGGAAUUACUGGGUGUAAAGGGAGAGUAGGCGGUAUGGUAAGUUAGAUGUGAAAGCCUGAGGCUUAACCACAGGAUUGCAUUUAAAACUAUCAAACUAGAGUACAGGAGAGGGAAGCGGAAUUCCUAGUGUAGCGGUGAAAUGCGUAGAUAUUAGGAAGAACACCAGUGGCGAAGGCGGCUUUCUGGACUGAAACUGACGCUGAGGCUCGAAAGCGUGGGGAGCGAACAGGAUUAGAUACCCUGGUAGUCCACGCCGUAAACGAUGAGUGCUAGGUGUCGGGGGGGAACCCUCGGUGCCGCAGCAAACGCAAUAAGCACUCCACCUGGGGAGUACGAUCGCAAGAUUGAA
RNAcentral lists this ribosomal RNA (372 nucleotides) under uncultured bacterium. Its description in RNAcentral is "bacterial SSU rRNA". It matches the Rfam family "Bacterial small subunit ribosomal RNA", at positions 524 to 898 of the family's 1533-position model. The record is from RNAcentral.